AUUUCGAAACUCAGAGUCAUCAAGCUUUUUGAUAGCAUAUUUCAUGUCAUCAUAGUUUGUAUAAUCAAUUAUACCAGUGGUUCCACUCCCGUCACGGAAAACUUGGGAGAAACAAACAUCCCCAGCACGGCGCAUGUGAUCCUUGAGAUCCUGCCACGAUGCUGAAUGGGGUAAUCCUGUAACUAACACUCGAUAAUCUGAACGUCUUGACACUCCUCCACCACGCUGACCACGGCCGCCACCGCCACCACCAUAACGAUCAUUUGAUGAUGAGUUACCACGCCCGCCAUGUGCAAGCUCAACCCGCAGACGGUGCCCAUCAAAAUCAUAGCCAUCA
RNAcentral lists this unclassified non-coding RNA (337 nucleotides) under Hevea brasiliensis (rubber tree). The record is from RNAcentral. Lineage: Eukaryota; Viridiplantae; Streptophyta; Magnoliopsida; Malpighiales; Euphorbiaceae.